RNAcentral lists this ribosomal RNA (253 nucleotides) under uncultured bacterium. RNAcentral's name for it is "partial 16S ribosomal RNA". It matches the Rfam family "Bacterial small subunit ribosomal RNA", at positions 524 to 776 of the family's 1533-position model. The record is from RNAcentral.
UACGGAGGGUGCAAGCGUUAUCCGGAUUCACUGGGUUUAAAGGGAGCGCAGGCGGAUUGGUAAGUCAGUGGUGAAAUACCUGAGCUUAACUUGGGAACUGCCGUUGAUACUAUAGAUCUUGAAUAUCGUGGAGGUAAGCGGAAUAUGUCAUGUAGCGGUGAAAUGCUUAGAUAUGACAUAGAACACCAAUUGCGAAGGCAGCUUACUACACGAUCAUUGACACUGAGGCACGAAAGCGUGGGGAGCAAACAGG